CCCACUGAUUUAAUAAUUGAAGGGCUGCAGUAUAUUGACUGUACAAAGGUAGCAUAAUCAUUAGUCAUUUAAUUGAUGACUUGUAUGAAGGAUUGGAUGAAAUAUAAACUGUCUCUUGAUUAAAAAUAGAAUUUAAUUUUUUAAUUAAAAAGUUAAAAUGAUUUAAAAAGACGAGAAGACCCUAUAGAGUUUUAUAAAUAAAUUAAUUAAGAUUAUUUAUUAAAUUAAAAUUAAAAUUUGAGAUAUUUAUUAUAUUGGGGUGAUAGAAAAAUAUGAUUAACUUUUUUUAUAUAAAUAACAUAUAUAAGUGAAUAAAUGAUCCAAUAUUAUUGAUUAUAAGAAAAAAUUACCUUAGGGAUAACAGCGUAAUUUUUUUUUUUAGUUCAUAUAAGAAAAAGAGUUUGCGACCUCGAUGUUGGAUUAAGAUAAAAUUUAAAUGCAGAAG
RNAcentral lists this ribosomal RNA (445 nucleotides) under Sciomesa scotochroa. RNAcentral describes it as "partial 16S large subunit ribosomal RNA". The record is from RNAcentral. Lineage: Eukaryota; Metazoa; Arthropoda; Insecta; Lepidoptera; Noctuidae.